Small nuclear RNA from Perognathus longimembris pacificus (Pacific pocket mouse), 107 nucleotides. The record is from RefSeq and is a predicted model, not a curated record. Lineage: Eukaryota; Metazoa; Chordata; Mammalia; Rodentia; Heteromyidae.
GUGCCCACUUCAGCAACACAUAUACUAAAAUUGGGACAAUACAGAGAAGAUUAGUAUGGCCCCUGCACAAGGAUGACAUGCAAAUCCAUGCAGCAUUCCAUGUUAAA